RNAcentral lists this ribosomal RNA (497 nucleotides) under uncultured bacterium. RNAcentral's name for it is "partial 16S ribosomal RNA". It matches the Rfam family "Bacterial small subunit ribosomal RNA", at positions 36 to 507 of the family's 1533-position model. The record is from RNAcentral.
UCUUCCCUCUGGCGGCGUGCCUAAUACAUGCAAGUCGAGCGAACAGACGAGGAGCUUGCUCCUCUGACGUUAGCGGCGGACGGGUGAGUAACACGUGGAUAACCUACCUAUAAGACUGGGAUAACUUCGGGAAACCGGAGCUAAUACCGGAUAAUAUAUUGAACCGCAUGGUUCAAUAGUAAAAGACGGUUUUGCUGUCACUUAUAGAUGGAUCCGCGCCGCAUUAGCUAGUUGGUAAGGUAACGGCUUACCAAGGCAACGAUGCGUAGCCGACCUGAGAGGGUGAUCGGCCACACGGGAAGUUAGACACGGUCCAGACGCCUGCGAGACGCAGCAGUAGGGAAUCGUCCGCAAUGGGCGAAAGCCUUACGGAGCAACGCCGCGUGAGUGAUGAAAGUCUUCGGAUCGUAAAACUCUGUUAUUAGGGAAGAACAAAUGUGUAAGUAACUAUGCACGUCUUGACGGUACCUAAUCAGAAAGCCACGGCUAACUACGUG